RNAcentral lists this long non-coding RNA (3929 nucleotides) under Homo sapiens (human). RNAcentral's name for it is "HSALNT0364538". Lineage: Eukaryota; Metazoa; Chordata; Mammalia; Primates; Hominidae. The record is from RNAcentral.
UAUAUAUAUAUAUGUAUAUACACAUAAUAUGGUUGGAAAGAUCAUUUAAAAAGUUAACAGUAAUUGCCUCUGGAGAGCAAUUUUCAGGACAUCAGGGUGGCAGGGUUUAUAAGGAGACUUUCCUUUAGUCUAAUCUCUCCUAUGUUGAUUUCUUCUAAUCAUGUGAACAUGGUUUACAUUAAUUUUCUGACCAUGGAUUCAUAGGUGACUCAAAUGAUUACAUUAGCUGUCUUUCACCACCCCGCACCCCCAUAGCAACUAUCAUGCCUCACCCCCCGUUUCACACAGUCCAGGCACAUGGCCACAUGUGAUAAAGAACACAAAUUUCUCAAGACAAAAAUCUUCCUAUUUCUUAGUCACAAUUCAGGUCUGCUUUUAAUAUUUAACUAUUAAUUCUACGUGCUGGAGUUCGCAAUUUACUUCAACACAUUCUCUGUCCGGGGUAUACCCUUGGGCCUCAGUUAUUUGUGGAUUAGACAGUAGAAACUUUAUAUCAAGUCCUUGACCAAUCUCUUAAUUAUUUACCAUGUCAAAGAUUCUUCAGUGUUGUUGCUUUUAUUGCACCCUUGUGGACCAUUUGCUAAAAAGCAAUUUGCUAUUUUGGAGAUAAAUUAGCUUUAUUACUUCCUGUUCAUGCACAUUGAAAAGCACCGUGGACUGUUAUUUUCCCUAACUCAUCCCUCAUCCUCAGCAUCAAUGCAUCUAUUAAAUCUAAAGGCGUUUAUUUUUCACAUCAUAAAAAGGUAGAGUUAGGUUAUUUGUCCUGACUAAAAACACAAAAUACUUUUGCUAAUUUAUCCUGCAGAGUUGCUGGGUUUUAUUUCCAUGAAAUUAAUCAUGACAAACCAACAAGCAAAGAAUCACACUGAGUGCUUUUCAGUUUAUUGAAAUACAGUGUUAGUUUAUUCUUUAUGUAUAUGGAGUAUAAGAUUUUGAGAUUUAAUACUGUACUAAAUUUCUAGAAACAUAGAAUUAUUAAAACAUUUGAUUUUUAAUAAGAGAUAAUGGAUACAAAUAUUCCUCUUACCUUAAAUAACUUUGAUGUGUUUCAGACCCAUAUAAUGAGCCAUUUAUGUACAGUGUAAUAUCAACCUGUAUAGUAAUAGCAUUAGUAAAAUACAGAGUGCACUUUCAGGGUACUUAACAAACUGCUUGAAUUAGUAAAGAACGAAAUCAAUAAUAAUAUAAAUGUUUAAUUAUAAAAACAUUAUUGAAAAUAAUUAUAAUGCUGAAAAUUGUAGUUAAACCAAACUGUUUAUUAUAGACUAAAGUUUAUUGUAUUCUAUUUAUUUCCUUUUAAUUCAGUUGUAUUUACUUUUUUGUGAUAAAUGUUACAUUGCUAAGCAGUAGUAAGUUUUUAGUAAUAUCAUGUCAGUCAUUUCAAAUACUUUUUUUUUUACUUUGUUAAAAUAAAGCUGACUAAUUGGUAUUGUCACACUCAUUGGGAAAACACACACAAAGACACACACAUACAAACUGAGGUUCAGAGAAGUUAAAUGAUUUGUAUAAGAUAACAGCAAGUAACUGGAAUCUAGUAGUCUCCCCUUAUCAGCAGUUUUGCUUUCUGUGGUUGUAGUUACCUGUGGUUACUUGUGGUCUGAAAAUAGGUGAAUACAAUACAAGUAGGUAUUUUGAGAGACAGACCACAUUCGUGUAACUUUUAUUACAGUAUCUUGUUAUAAUUGUUCUAGUUUUAUUGUCAGUUAUUGUUGACUUCUUACUGUACCUAACUUAUAAAUUAAACUUUAUCAUAGGAAGAACAUAUGUAUAGGAAGAAACAUAGUAAUAUAGAAGGUUUGGUGCAUCCAUGGUUUCAGGUAUCCCCUGGGGGACUUGGAAGGUAUACCCUGCGAAUAAGUGGGGAUACUGUAUCUGAAAUACAAACUAAGAUUUGUCUGAUUAUACAAACCAUCUUAAAAUUGUCUUACAAUUUAGUGCUAAAAUGUAAUAAUGUACAAAUAUGUACAUGUAAUCUAAUGUAGCUAAAUAUGUUAAUUGAAAUAAAAUUAUAUACUGUAAAUGUUCAUAGUAAUUAUCAUUAAAUUUGUAAUAAUGCAAGUAUCUUUAUAGCUUUUCUCAACUGAACUGCAACUAGAGUUCUGUGAUUAUGCUUAGGGUAAACAUGUCAUUUUUCCCAUUUCACAGCUAAAGUACAGGGGUUGGAACAGUCAGCCAAGGUGAGGAUGAUUUUGAAUGACUCCAAAGGCCCAGGAUUACACAGACAGAAAUCUAAGGGUUGUGUCUUACUAGGGAGUCCUCUACUCUUGAAAUCCUUUUCUUUCUUUACUUGUACCCCAAAUUGAUUUUUACUCUAAUACUGCAGGCUUGUGGCCUGAACUCAUGGCUUUCAACUUCACAAAAUUGAAAGUAGAGAAUAUUUAAAAAUUAGUUUCCCACAUAUAUUUAACAGUGUUAUUAACCACUGAAUCAGUAGAGUCUAGAUCUAAAUGGUAUAGAUCCAGUAAUUUUUAAUGUUCCCAUUAUGUAUAGAGAAAAGUCUGAGAUGUUGUUUUGCAUUGAUUGGCAUUAGAUUUUCAGAUUUGAAAAGUUUUUGGGGUAAAUUAUUCAGUUUCCAUAUAUUCAGAAGAGUUUUGUUGAAACCAUCCAAAUGUCCUUAAUUACUUAAGGUAUCUUCUUGGGGGGGUUACAAAAAUAGUCAUCUUUGAGUUCUGAGACAAAAUACUGCAAAAUAAUGGAUUUAUUCAUUAUCUGAACGGAAAUGUAACUGUUUGCAUGCUAAAAAGAUACACCCUCUCCCUAAGUUAGUUCACAAUUUUUAGGCAUGAAGGACUGUAAAAGUAUGAGUCAGGUCAUGGUGAAAUGGGGAAUCAGCUCCCAUUUGAAACCUCCAGAAAUAACUCUCCUCCAAGUAAGUGGCUACAGAAUUCUUAAAAAGAGGAAAGAACUUUCAGUUUCUCAGUGGCCAUUUUUUAUUGCAUAAUAAACCUGACAAGAAUAGACUUCUAUUCCUAGAAUUGUCAAUUUGUCAUAUCUGAUGAGCACAAAGUGUCCUAUUUUUAAACUGACGCAUACAGGCCUUGCUCCUGCUAUGCCUGCAUUGUAUAGUAAUGGCAUAUUUAGAAAUACUGUACAAUAGAAAUAUUUCUGCUAAUUUUCAGAUCUAAAAAGGAGACAUUUCUCACAUGUCUAAUAAAGAGCAAGGCUCUACUGAAUAUUAGUCAGAAAAAUUUGCCCAGUAUCAUUGGAUAUUGCGAUACAUAUUUAUCAAGCAGCUUCUACAAGCAAGAUCAUCUACCAGGUACUUCAUACUGAAAGGUGGCAUAAGACAAAACAACAACAGUAAAACACCCAGAAAAGUAAACCAUUUAAUAGAGAUAUACCCUCGGUGCUAUAAAGCCACAAAAGAAAAGCCCAUUGCUUUCUCCUGAUCAGGAAAAGUGCAGCAAUAUUAGGGUUUAUGUUUGUUUGUUUGUUUAAGGUUUCACAUAAGAUGUGUAGAGCUUUUGAAAUACUGUGAGAAAACAUGGGCAAAGUGAGCUAGGCAAGAAGCAUCUAAAAUGCACAUAGGCCUGGAAGGAGCAUGACCCACAUGGGAGACAAGAAUUUCAGGAGAGAGUACAGGACACGUGUGCCAGCGGGCUGCAGAUCAGGUCGAAGAGAAACGUGAGGUCCAGAUACAGCAAAAGUUUAAUACUGCUUGAGAGGUUAGCAUACACUUUGUCUCAUUCCAAAGCAAUAAAGAGUGUUAAGUAAGGAAGAGAUCCUCGGGUUUGUGUUUAGAAAAGUUAGGCAGUAAUAUGCAGGAUGUAUUGGAAGUGGACUUGGGAGAUUAAAAGCAAGAAAAUAGUGUUAGAAAGUAGUUUGCAUGGUUGAAGAAAAAGUUGUAAGGGCUAAAUUCAAAACCUGAUUAACGUCUACACUUCAUGGGUAUUUAAAGAUAAAUGUGUACAACUUUAAAUGGGAUAAAA